AAUCAACGCUGGCGGCGUGCCUAACACAUGCAAGUCGCACGAGAGAGUGGAGCAAUCCAUGAGUACAGUGGCGCACGGGUGAGUAACACGUGAAUCAUCUACCUCCGAGUGGGGAAUAACCUAGAGAAAUCUGGGCUAAUACCGCAUGACACUUACGAGUCAAAGCAGCAAUGCGCUUGGAGAGGAGUUCGCGGCAGAUUAGUUAGUUGGCGGGGUAAUGGCCCACCAAGACGAUGAUCUGUAUCCGGCCUGAGAGGGCGCACGGACACACUGGAACUGAAACACGGUCCAGACUCCUACGGGAGGCAGCAGUGGGGAAUUUUGCGCAAUGGGGGAAACCCUGACGCAGCAACGCCGCGUGGAGGAUGAAAUCCCUUGGGAUGUAAACUCCUUUCGAUCGGGACGAUUAUGACGGUACCGGAAGAAGAAGCCCCGGCUAACUUCGUGCCAGCAGCCGCGGUAAUACGAGGGGGGCAAGCGUUGUUCGGAAUUAUUGGGCGUAAAGGGCGCGUAGGCGGUUUGACAAGUCUGAUGUGAAAUCUCUGGGCUCAACCCAGAGUCUGCAUUAGAAACUGUCGGGCUUGAGUAUGGGAGAGGUGAGUGGAAUUUCCGGUGUAGCGGUGAAAUGCGUAGAUAUCGGAAGGAACACCUGUGGCGAAAGCGGCUCACUGGACCAUAACUGACGCUGAGGCGCGAAAGCUAGGGGAGCAAACAGGAUUAGAUACCCUGGUAGUCCACGCCGUAAACGAUGAUAACUAGCUGUCCGGGCACUUAGUGCUUGGGUGGCGCAGCUAACGCAUUAAGUUAUCCGCCUGGGGAGUACGGCCGCAAGGUUA
This 836-nucleotide ribosomal RNA is filed under the name uncultured bacterium. Its description in RNAcentral is "bacterial SSU rRNA". It matches the Rfam family "Bacterial small subunit ribosomal RNA", at positions 28 to 896 of the family's 1533-position model. The record is from RNAcentral.